UUUUGUCAGAAAGAUUCUUUAUACAUCAGUGUGACAAGAGUUGACUCUGGAUAUUUAGAAGUAGAGAGCUCUCCAGCUGCUCUGUCUGUGCUUUUCUGCUGCCUCACUCAGAGUCAGUCUGCUCUGUUAGAUGUUCCUGGUUGUCAGAGAGCACAGGAAGAAAUGACAGGAAACAAGACUUAUUUAAAAGAGAGAAAGAAGACUUGAGAGCAUUAUCCUUACAAGUGGAGCAGACUUAUUUCUCACCAAGUGCUCAAUAACUCAUCCUUAGAAUCAUUGCAUUAAAAUUUAAGUGUCAAACACUGGUCACAAUGUGAUAGUAAC
This is a long non-coding RNA of Ochotona princeps (American pika), 324 nucleotides long. RefSeq lists it as uncharacterized. The record is from RefSeq and is a predicted model, not a curated record. The transcript is spliced from 3 exons. Lineage: Eukaryota; Metazoa; Chordata; Mammalia; Lagomorpha; Ochotonidae.